UACGGAGGGGGCUAGCGUUGUUCGGAAUUACUGGGCGUAAAGCGCACGUAGGCGGCUUUGCAAGUUAGAGGUGAAAGCCCGGGGCUCAACUCCGGAAUUGCCUUUAAAACUGCAUCGCUAGAAUUGUGGAGAGGUAAGUGGAAUUCCGAGUGUAGAGGUGAAAUUCGUAGAUAUUCGGAAGAACACCAGUGGCGAAGGCGACAUCCUGGACCAACACUGACGCUGAGGAGCGAAAGCCAGGGGAGCAAACGGG
Molecule: ribosomal RNA, 253 nt
Filed under: uncultured bacterium
Lineage: Bacteria
Description: partial 16S ribosomal RNA
Rfam family: Bacterial small subunit ribosomal RNA
Source: RNAcentral